RNAcentral lists this ribosomal RNA (495 nucleotides) under uncultured bacterium. Its description in RNAcentral is "partial 16S ribosomal RNA". It matches the Rfam family "Bacterial small subunit ribosomal RNA", at positions 28 to 507 of the family's 1533-position model. The record is from RNAcentral.
GACGAACGCUGGCGGCGUGCCUAAUACAUGCAAGUAGAACGCUGAAGGAGGAGCUUGCUUCUCUGGAUGAGUUGCGAACGGGUGAGUAACGCGUAGGUAACCUGCCUGGUAGCGGGGGAUAACUAUUGGAAACGAUAGCUAAUACCGCAUAAUAGUAGAUGUUGCAUGACAUUUGCUUAAAAGGUGCAAUUGCAUCACUACCAGAUGGACCUGCGUUGUAUUAGCUAGUUGGUGGGGUAACGGCUCACCAAGGCGACGAUACAUAGCCGACCUGGGAGGGGGAUCGGCCACCCUGGGACUGAGACACGGCCCAGACUCCUACGGGAGGCAGCAGUAGGGAAUCUUCGGCAAUGGACGGAAGUCUGACCGAGCAACGCCGCGUGAGUGAAGAAGGUUUUCGGAUCGUAAAGCUCUGUUGUAAGAGAAGAACGAGUGUGAGAGUGGAAAGUUCACACUGUGACGGUAUCUUACCAGAAAGGGACGGCUAACUACGUG